RNAcentral lists this ribosomal RNA (494 nucleotides) under uncultured bacterium. Its description in RNAcentral is "partial 16S ribosomal RNA". It matches the Rfam family "Bacterial small subunit ribosomal RNA", at positions 28 to 507 of the family's 1533-position model. The record is from RNAcentral.
GACGAACGCUGGCGGCGUGCCUAAUACAUGCAAGUAGAACGCUGAAGGAGGAGCUUGCUCUUCUGGAUGAGUUGCGAACGGGUGAGUAACGCGUAGGUAACCUGCCUGUAGCGGGGGAUAACUAUUGGAAACGAUAGCUAAUACCGCAUAACAGUAGAUGUUGCAUGACAUUUGCUUAAAAGGUGCAAUUGCACCACUACCAGAUGGACCUGCGUUGUAUUAGCUAGUUGGUGGGGUAACGGCUCACCAAGGCGACGAUACAUAGCCGACCUGAGAGGGUGAUCGGCCACACUGGGACUGAGACACGGCCCAGACUCCUACGGGAGGCAGCAGUAGGGAAUCUUCGGCAAUGGACGGAAGUCUGACCGAGCAACGCCGCGUGAGUGAAGAAGGUUUUCGGAUCGUAAAGCUCUGUUGUAAGAGAAGAACGAGUGUGAGAGUGGAAAGUUCACACUGUGACGGUAGCUUACCAGAAAGGGACGGCUAACUACGUG